RNAcentral lists this long non-coding RNA (661 nucleotides) under Felis catus (domestic cat). RNAcentral describes it as "lncRNA (ENSFCAG00000041134.2)". Lineage: Eukaryota; Metazoa; Chordata; Mammalia; Carnivora; Felidae. The record is from RNAcentral.
UAACGAAUGUCCUUGAAAGAAUUCACUGCAGUUUGUUUUAAGUAAAACUAAAAUAUAAAUUAAAAUGAAUGUGUUGUACUCCCCCUGUUCUUCUGCCUUUUUCUUUCUUUUUUUUUUUUUUUUUGUCUUUAUAUUAGGAGAAAGGGAGAUGUGGAAUGUCGGGAAUUGUUUAUAAAAUUAGCACACACUGCUCCCAUGAACGUGGAAAAUAUCUGACCCACAGUUGCCCCAGUUUGUUAAACAUUGUGGAUACUCUAUGGAUGGCUGUUCUUCCACAGCCUCCUGGCUGCUGGAGACAAAACCCUGGGUAAGCAAAGUUGGAUGGUUUUCAAAACUGUCAUCCUUAGUAGAUUUACAGACACAAAGAGCUGUCACUAAAUUUAGUCAGUGACCCUGAACUUGGAAUAACUGGAACUGGUACUCUCAGCCAGGGCUGUCCUAAAGUCUAAGGAGCAAUUAGGGGCCAAUAACAAGAUUGGAUUCUGACAUGCUGGGUGAGAGAGCCACUUACAAGACAGAUGGAGGACAAAGCCACUUAGAAGGUACUCGGAGGACAACCCUACCAAGUGAGAGAGCAGAGCCAAGCCCCAGGAAACAGACUGGACCCAUAGAGGAAACCCUGCAGAAAAAAAGGAAAGAUGACAGAAAAGGUGCAGCUUAA